This 73-nucleotide transfer RNA is filed under the name Mycobacterium phage Nanosmite. RNAcentral's name for it is "tRNA-Trp". It matches the Rfam family "tRNA". Rfam says of the family: Transfer RNA (tRNA) molecules are approximately 80 nucleotides in length. Lineage: Duplodnaviria; Heunggongvirae; Uroviricota; Caudoviricetes; Vilmaviridae. The record is from RNAcentral.
AUGGGCGUAGCUGACAGGAAAGCAGCGGUCUCCAAAGCCGUGUUAACGCAGGUUCGAAUCCUGCCGCCCGUGC